Molecule: ribosomal RNA, 371 nt
Filed under: uncultured bacterium
Lineage: Bacteria
Description: partial 16S ribosomal RNA
Rfam family: Bacterial small subunit ribosomal RNA
Source: RNAcentral
CCUACGGGUGGCUGCAGUGAGGAAUAUUGGUCAAUGGGCGUAAGCCUGAACCAGCCAAGUCGCGUGAGGGAUGAAGGUUCUAUGGAUCGUAAACCUCUUUUAUAAGGGAAUAAAGUGCGGGACGUGUCCCGUUUUGUAUGUACCUUAUGAAUAAGGAUCGGCUAACUCCGUGCCAGCAGACGCGGUAAUACGGAGGAUCGGAGGGUUAUCCGGAUUUCUUGGGUUUAAAGGGUGCGUAGGCGGCCUUUUAAGUCAGGGGUAGAAGUCUGUGGGUCAACCAUAGAAUUGCUGUUGAAACUGGGAGGCGUGAGGGUGCUUGAGGCAAGCGGAAUGGGUGGGGUAGCGGUGAAAUGCAUAGAUAGCACGCAGAA